Molecule: ribosomal RNA, 746 nt
Filed under: Latilactobacillus fuchuensis
Lineage: Bacteria; Bacillati; Bacillota; Bacilli; Lactobacillales; Lactobacillaceae
Description: bacterial SSU rRNA
Rfam family: Bacterial small subunit ribosomal RNA
Source: RNAcentral
AGUGAGUGGCGGACGGGUGAGUAACACGUGGGUAACCUGCCCUAAAGUGGGGGAUAACAUUUGGAAACAGAUGCUAAUACCGCAUAAAACCUAGCACCGCAUGGUGCAAGGUUGAAAGAUGGUUUCGGCUAUCACUUUAGGAUGGACCCGCGGUGCAUUAGUUAGUUGGUGAGGUAAAGGCCCACCAAGACUGUGAUGCAUAGCCGACCUGAGAGGGUAAUCGGCCACACUGGGACUGAGACACGGCCCAGACUCCUACGGGAGGCAGCAGUAGGGAAUCUUCCACAAUGGACGAAAGUCUGAUGGAGCAACGCCGCGUGAGUGAAGAAGGUUUUCGGAUCGUAAAACUCUGUUGUUGGAGAAGAAUGUAUCUGAUAGUAACUGAUCAGGUAGUGACGGUAUCCAACCAGAAAGCCACGGCUAACUACGUGCCAGCAGCCGCGGUAAUACGUAGGUGGCAAGCGUUGUCCGGAUUUAUUGGGCGUAAAGCGAGCGCAGGCGGUUUUUUAAGUCUGAUGUGAAAGCCUUCGGCUCAACCGAAGAAGUGCAUCGGAAACUGGGAAACUUGAGUGCAGAAGAGGACAGUGGAACUCCAUGUGUAGCGGUGAAAUGCGUAGAUAUAUGGAAGAACACCAGUGGCGAAGGCGGCUGUCUGGUCUGUAACUGACGCUGAGGCUCGAAAGCAUGGGUAGCACACAGGAUUAGAUACCCUGGUAGUCCAUGCCGUAAACGAUGAGUGCUAGGUG